RNAcentral lists this ribosomal RNA (890 nucleotides) under Arenariomyces trifurcatus. Its description in RNAcentral is "LSU rRNA". It matches the Rfam family "Eukaryotic large subunit ribosomal RNA", at positions 41 to 957 of the family's 3401-position model. The record is from RNAcentral. Lineage: Eukaryota; Fungi; Ascomycota; Sordariomycetes; Microascales; Halosphaeriaceae.
UAUCACUAAGCGGAGGAAAAGAAACCAACAGGGAUUGCCUCAGUAACGGNGAGUGAAGCGGCAACAGCUCAAAUUUGAAAUCUGGCCCUCCCCGCGGGGGUCCGAGUUGUAAUUUACAGAGGAUGCUUUCGGCGAGGCGCCUUCCGAGUUCCCUGGAACGGGACGCCGCAGAGGGUGAGAGCCCCGUACGGUCUGGCGCCGAGCCUUCUGUAAAGCUCCUUCGAAGAGUCGAGUAGUUUGGGAAUGCUGCUCAAAACGGGAGGUAAACUCCUCCUAAAGCUAAAUACUGGCCAGAGACCGAUAGCGCACAAGUAGAGUGAUCGAAAGAUGAAAAGCACUUUGGAAAGAGAGUUAAACAGCACGUGAAAUUGUUGAAAGGGAAGCGCUCGCGGCCAGACCUGGGCCCGGUAGCUCAGCCGUCCCUCGGGGCGGUGCACUCUGCCGGUCCAGGCCAGCAUCGGUUCUCGGCGGGGGAGAAAGGCGGUGGGAACGUGGCUCCUCGGAGUGUUAUAGCCCGCCGCCAUGCCCCGUCGNCGACCGUGGUCCGCGCCCUAGUGCCAAGGAUGCUGNCGUAAUGNCCACCAGCGACCCGUCUUGAAACACGGACCAAGGAGUCAUCCUAGUAUGCGAGUGUUCGGGCGUCAAACCCCUACGCGAAAUGAAAGUGAACGGAGGUGAGAGCUUCGGCGCAUCAUCGACCGAUCCUGAUGUCUUCGGAUGGAUUUGAGUAGGAGCAUACUGGGCUGUACCCGAAAGAAGGUGAACUAUGCUUGGAUAGGGUGAAGCCAGAGGAAACUCUGGUGGAGGCUCGCAGCGGUUCUGACGUGCAAAUCGAUCGUCAAAUCUGAGCAUGGGGGCGAAAGACUAAUCGAACCUUUUAGUACUGUUUC